Molecule: non-coding RNA, 84 nt
Organism: Mycena crocata
Lineage: Eukaryota; Fungi; Basidiomycota; Agaricomycetes; Agaricales; Mycenaceae
Source: the annotation of a GenBank genome assembly
UCUUGACUAGUAUAUCGGUUAGUACACGCGCUUGUCAAACUUGAAGCUGCGCGCGAAAGCUGGGUUGGACUCCCAGGUCGAGAG